CCAUGUUUGAGAUCUGUAACAUACUUUAAAAGCUUCUAAAUUUCUCUUAUUUGUUCUCAAUUUGUAUUGUAGGAUUUUUCUUUUGUUGCUCUAUAAUUUCUCCUGAAAUAUGAUCUUGAAGAGCUCAUUAGUCCAAACAUAUAUUCAAACAUUUUGUUGUUCAUCAAAAUCAAUCCUUGAGGUUAACAAUCUCUCCAUUUUUGGUGAUGAUAAAACUUUAAGUAUAUGAGCAAUUGGUAUAAAG
This 244-nucleotide long non-coding RNA is filed under the name Elaeis guineensis (African oil palm). RNAcentral's name for it is "long non-coding RNA (EGUI_LNC051944)". The record is from RNAcentral. Lineage: Eukaryota; Viridiplantae; Streptophyta; Magnoliopsida; Arecales; Arecaceae.